RNAcentral lists this ribosomal RNA (790 nucleotides) under uncultured archaeon. Its description in RNAcentral is "bacterial SSU rRNA". It matches the Rfam family "Archaeal small subunit ribosomal RNA", at positions 85 to 876 of the family's 1478-position model. The record is from RNAcentral.
ACGGCUCAGUAACACGUAGACAACCUACCCUCAGCACGGGGAUAAACCCGGGAAACUGGGUAUAAUACCCGAUAGUUCUGGUUAGCUGGAAUGCUAUCAGGACGAAAGCUCCGGCGGCCGAGGAUGGGUCUGCGGCCUAUCAGGUAGUAGUGGGUGUAACGUACCUACUAGCCUACGACGGGUACGGGUUGUGAGAGCAAGAGCCCGGAGAUGGAUUCUGAGACACGAAUCCAGGCCCUACGGGGUGCAGCAGGCGCGAAAACUUUACAAUGCUGGCAACAGCGAUAAGGGGACCUCGAGUGCCAGGAUACAAUCUUGGCUGUCGCGAUGCCUAAAAAGCAUUGCAUAGCAAGGGCCGGGCAAGACCGGUGCCAGCCGCCGCGGUAACACCGGCGGCUCGAGUGGUAACCGCUAUUAUUGGGUCUAAAGGGUCUGUAGCCGGCCGGAUAAGUCUCUUGGGAAAUCCAGCAGCUCAACUGUUGGGCUUUCAGGAGAUACUGUUCGGCUCGAGGCCGGGAGAGGUGAGAGGUACUUCAGGGGUAGGGGUGAAAUCUUGUAAUCCUUGAAGGACCACCAGUGGCGAAGGCGUCUCACCAGAACGGUCCUGACGGCAAGGGACGAAAGCUAGGGGCACGAACCGGAUUAGAUACCCGGGUAGUCCUAGCCGUAAACGAUACUCGCUAGGUGUCAGCCACGGUGCGACCGUGGUUGGUGCCGUAGGGAAGCCGUGAAGCGAGCCACCUGGGAAGUACGGCCGCAAGGCUGAAACUUAAAGGAAUUGGCGGGGGAG